RNAcentral lists this ribosomal RNA (253 nucleotides) under uncultured bacterium. RNAcentral describes it as "partial 16S ribosomal RNA". It matches the Rfam family "Bacterial small subunit ribosomal RNA", at positions 524 to 776 of the family's 1533-position model. The record is from RNAcentral.
AACGUAGGAGACAAACGUUAUCCGGAGUUACUGGGCGUAAAGGGUGCGUAGGCGGAUAUUUAAGUUAGAGGUGAAAGCCCAGGGCUCAACCCUGGAAUAGCCUUUAAUACUGGAUAUCUUGAGUUCGGGAGAGGUGAGUGGAACUCCGAGUGUAGAGGUGAAAUUCGUAGAUAUUCGGAAGAACACCAGUGGCGAAGGCGACUCACUGGCCCGAUACUGACGCUGAGGCGCGAAAGCGUGGGGAGCAAACAGG